RNAcentral lists this ribosomal RNA (297 nucleotides) under Clostridium sp. T96CN3. RNAcentral describes it as "partial 16S ribosomal RNA". It matches the Rfam family "Bacterial small subunit ribosomal RNA", at positions 89 to 385 of the family's 1533-position model. The record is from RNAcentral. Lineage: Bacteria; Bacillati; Bacillota; Clostridia; Eubacteriales; Clostridiaceae.
UGGCGAGUGGCGAACGGGUGAGUAAUAUAUCGGAACGUACCCUGAAAUGGGGGAUAACGUAGCGAAAGUUACGCUAAUACCGCAUAUGCCCUAAGGGGGAAAGCGGGGGACCUUCGCAAGAACCUCGCGUUUUCGGAGCGGCCGAUAUCGGAUUAGCUAGUAGGUGAGGUAAAGGCUCACCUAGGCGACGAUCCGUAGCUGGUCUGAGAGGACGACCAGCCACACUGGAACUGAGACACGGUCCAGACUCCUACGGGAGGCAGCAGUGGGGAAUUUUGGACAAUGGGCGCAAGCCUG